UAGCCUUCUGUCCCACCCUUGCCACCACUGCCUGGCUUGCCACCCCUCGACAGGUCCAUGCUCCUGGACAUGAGGUGGCUGGCUCUGCUGGACGUGGAGGUGAAGGUUGUCGUGUGACCUGGGGUAAGUAUUGUUAUAGGUGAUAAUUUGCUAUAUGAAAUAACUCUGUCACAGUCAGACUGAUGGUUGCGAGGUCUCUGUAUUUAGUUUGUGAAAAUAGAAAAUUCCACCAACAGUUCCCCCUCGUCCCCAGGGUGUGCCUCCCCCAGGACCAGAGAGGCGGCGCAGCAGCCGAGCCACACACGACACGUCGCUGUGACGAGUUUCCACUGCUGCCAAGGCUGUGGCGGGACAUCCUGGACGCAGCUAGCGCAGCCCCGGGGACAUCUGCAGGGGCGGAGGGGGAAAAGGGCCGUGAAAGCCAACCGGAGUCAGGCAGGGAGUUUUCCUCCGAAGAAUCACCGUCAUCUCUCCAGAUGUCUCCGGGGCCUAAUUCGGAGGACGACCAGGCAGUGAUGGAGCCUUUAGUUUAACUGUUUCAUCCAAUUUUUAAAGGUUUCUAAGACAGUUUUUGUGGUCCAAUGCACAGGAUCUCGGUCGUGCACUGUGAAAACAUUGGCUUCCACCAUUUUUUGUUGUAAAAUGUUUUAGCAAAAAGAUGUUUGUUUGUUUUGCUAGUCGUUGUGUUUUAGGGGCAAGUUGGUCUGAACAUUUUAUUUGCCUUGGUUUGCUGCAUGACUCAUGAUUUAAAAUAUUAUUAUUACUAUUAUUACAUAUUACCUUAUGUUCUCUACAUUGUCAUGCAUAGCACUUACUGUGUAUUAUGACUCCUCUGGAGCAGAUUCACACUUCCAACAGCUUGGCUGCAGAUCUGGACUCUCCACUGACACCUGCAGCGCACCGGACCCACACACAAUUUUAGAACUAAUCAUCCUCUACCUAACCCUAACCCAGGGGGAGAAGAGCCGUGAGAUGCUUCCGGAGUAAGACUGGGAGAUUUACUCGGACGAAUCACAGAGUCCCUGUCUGACUCUGGUUGGCUCUCCUAGGUCGCCUCCUGCGUUUUCCCCGCAGUCAUCUCUCCAUGUCUCCGGGGCCUAAUUCGGAGGAUGAC
RNAcentral lists this long non-coding RNA (1114 nucleotides) under Sparus aurata (gilthead seabream). RNAcentral's name for it is "lncRNA (ENSSAUG00010010342.1)". Lineage: Eukaryota; Metazoa; Chordata; Actinopteri; Spariformes; Sparidae. The record is from RNAcentral.